ACGGAGGAUCCAAGCGUUAUCCGGAUUUAUUGGGUUUAAAGGGUGCGUAGGCGGGUCUUUAAGUCAGUGGUGAAAGUUUGCGGCUCAACCGUAAAAUUGCCAUUGAAACUGAAGACCUUGAGUACAAAUGAGGUAGGCGGAAUGUGUUGUGUAGCGGUGAAAUGCUUAGAUAUAACGCAGAACACCAAUUGCGAAGGCAGCUUACUGGGAUGUAACUGACGCUGAGGCACGAAAGCGUGGGGAUCGAACAG
This 251-nucleotide ribosomal RNA is filed under the name uncultured prokaryote. Its description in RNAcentral is "partial 16S rRNA". It matches the Rfam family "Bacterial small subunit ribosomal RNA", at positions 525 to 775 of the family's 1533-position model. The record is from RNAcentral.